RNAcentral lists this ribosomal RNA (254 nucleotides) under uncultured bacterium. RNAcentral's name for it is "partial 16S ribosomal RNA". It matches the Rfam family "Bacterial small subunit ribosomal RNA", at positions 524 to 776 of the family's 1533-position model. The record is from RNAcentral. RNAcentral also lists the same sequence under 1 other name.
UACGGGGGGGGGCAAGCGUUGUUCGGAAUUACUGGGCGUAAAGGGCGCGUAGGCGGCCUUCUAAGUCAGACGUGAAAUCCCUAGGCUCAACCUGGGAACUGCGUCUGAUACUGGAGGGCUUGAAUCCGGGAGAGGGAUGUGGAAUUCCAGGUGUAGCGGUGAAAUGCGUAGAUAUCUGGAGGAACACCGGUGGCGAAGGCGGCAUCCUGGACCGGUAUUGACGCUGAGGCGCGAAAGCCAGGGGAGCAAACGGG